This 1315-nucleotide long non-coding RNA is filed under the name Bos indicus x Bos taurus (hybrid cattle). Its description in RNAcentral is "lncRNA (ENSBIXG00000017024.1)". The record is from RNAcentral. Lineage: Eukaryota; Metazoa; Chordata; Mammalia; Artiodactyla; Bovidae.
GGAGCCGGCAGGUGGAGCGGGUCGUACGUUGCCACCUCCCUGCCUCUGGGACGUAUCCGGACUGUAUCCCUGUUUAUCCGGACGUCGUUAGGGCCGUGAGGCACAUGCCGGGUCGCCCCUUUACUGAACAUGCAGCCUGGAUGGGCUUCCGACUGUCUCGAGGACUGCUCUGUGGGCGAAGACAGAGGCAGGCUUAAAGCCAAAUCAGCAAGCACCUCCAGGUGGCUAGUCCUUCACAUUCAGGCCAGAAACUCGUCAGGAGCAAAGCCCCAAGAAGACGAACUAGCACUAAUUAGUGACGUGAGACAGACAUAGAGGAGCAAAUACUGUUUCCUCUCACUCGUAUGAGGCACCUGAACAGUCAAGUUCACAGAGACAGAAAGUGUAUGGUUGGAGGGGUCGGGGGCGGGGAGUCGUUUAAAGGGGGCAGAGCUUCUGUUUGGCAAGAUGUAAAGAGCCAUGGACAGUGGGUAACAUGGUGGAGCUGGACACGUAGAAAUAAUUAAGGUGGUAAAUUUCAUGCUGUGUAUAUUUUACCACAUUUUAAAAAAGAUCUCACACUUAAAUGUUAUUUAUCUGACUGAGUUGCCAGUCCUGGCUCUGCCACCCCCCUUACCUCGUGGGAUCUGAUGAAUUUUAAAAGUUAAGAAAGUGAACACGUUAUGGAACCUCAGGGUUUGACGACCGUUCGGUUCACACCGGUCCCGUGGGAACUAGAGUCGAAGGGACCAGACUCCAGCCCGGCGCCCCCAGCCCUCUCUGCACUCACUGUUGGCCUGGAAAGAUGCAAACACAGUUUCUAACUGCUCAAGGCCACAUCCUUAGGAUGACCCCAGCCCCCCACCCCCCCAAAAUGUCUGCCUGAGGAAAUCCGAGGCUGCCUGAAGACUCUGCUGUUUGUCCAGCCAAAACCUGCCACAGGCCCUGGUCUCCCAACCUCUGUGUGAGGGUCGGCACCUAACUGGAUCACCUCCUGUUAGACAAUCCCCAGAUGGGUUCCCAGGCACCUAACUGGAUCACCUCCUGUUAGACAACCCCCAGAUGGGUUCCCAGGCCCACCCCCUUCCACCCCUGGACAGCCCUUUGCUUCUCUAACUCUACAGAGCCUGCUGCUGCUGCUGCUAAGUCGCUUCAGUCGUGUCCGACUCUGUGCGACCCCAUAGACAGCAGCCCACCAGGCUCUGCCGUCCCUGGGAUUCUCCAGGCAAGAACACUGGAGUGGGUUGCCAUUUCCUUCUCCAUUGCGUGAAAGUGAAAAGUGAAAGUGAAGUUGCUCAGUCGCGACUGACUCGUGCGGACCCCAUGGCCUGUAGCC